Vicia faba (fava bean) is the source of this 392-nucleotide non-coding RNA. NCBI's taxonomy places the organism in Eukaryota, Viridiplantae, Streptophyta, Magnoliopsida, Fabales, Fabaceae. The record is from the annotation of a GenBank genome assembly.
UCUCCAAUCUCUCUUUCUCUCUCCAAUCUCUCUUUCUCUCUCUACACCUUAUUACACAUUUUGUUUCAACUUAUUCAUUACACUUUCUGUUAACAGCUAUAAAUGCACACACCUAUUUUUGCUUUAUCUUUACUGUUUCUCUCUCUCUUUCUGUGUUUCCUCCAUUACAAACCAAGCUUCCUUUCCACCUUUGCUUUUGGUCCCACAAUCAUCUUCCUCAACCACACUUCCACUAUCCACCAAACCCUUUCCCCUCUCUCUCCUUUUUUCUUCUUCUCCAUAAUCCACCCAUUUUCUCUCUCUGUACUUUUCCAUUCCCCAUUAAAAAUCACAUUUUUAUCACUUCUUUUUCAUCUUAUCCAUAUUUCUCAUUGACCCAUUUUCACUCAUAA